AGAUGGGAAUACUCAAACAAAUAGGUGAGUUGUCGUCCUAUUAUGAAAAAGAUAAAAGAAAAAGCAAUGUAACAAGGAGAGGGUGAUAGACAGGCCAGGCCAUCUAACAUGGUUAGUUAGCUAGCCCUCUCUCUCUAUAGCUAUAUAUGAAUUUGGUUCACUACUCCUUCUGUCCCUUUUAACUCCUCCAUCAAGCUUCUCAAAUCUUCUGCAUCAAAAUCCAGUUCAGUCCUUGGAUUUGGAGGCAUCAGGAAACAUGGCAAGCGAAGCACCGAGUUGGGCUGAUCAAUGGGGUGCUGGUGGUAUUGGUGCCAUGGAAGAUGAUGACACAAUCUCUCAAAAGGAAACCGGAAAGAAAAAGAAUUCAGGUUCUAAGGGUGGUUUCGGCAAAGUCAAAGCAAGUGCCUCAAAUUGUGUCAAAUGGUUAAAAAGCCUGUGCAAGAGAAAGAGUACAUCUAAGUAAACCAGAGGAUAUACUGUGUGUGUGCACUUGUAAUUCAGCACCAUGGCAGAUACCAGUUUUGUAACUUUUUUUCUUUUCCUUUUAACUAAUGAUUUGGUGUUUCGGUCUGUUAAGAUCGAUCCGAUUCUAGAGGAAGAUGAUAUGUAAAGUUAGUAUUAGUCUCACUAUUUUUGCCCAACACUGCAUGAUUGAUAGCCUAAGAGUCAAGAACUUCUUUUAGGAUACUGGGCCAUUAUUUCGCUUAACAAUCCAUGAUUAUUAAAAGCUUAAAA
This is a long non-coding RNA of Glycine soja, 735 nucleotides long. RefSeq lists it as uncharacterized. The record is from RefSeq and is a predicted model, not a curated record. NCBI's taxonomy places the organism in Eukaryota, Viridiplantae, Streptophyta, Magnoliopsida, Fabales, Fabaceae. The transcript has 2 exons.